CAUUAAAAGUGAGCUGUACUGUUUUUGCUUUAGCUGUGUGCCACCCAGGCUGGGAGGAGCCAGCAGUAUUGAGAAUCACAGUAGACCUGCAGCCAGAGAGUAAUUUAAAACACUGCAUCAUUGGGUUGUCAAGGUAACUGGCUAGGCUGCCUUUCUGGACUUCUGUAAACACAGGUCCUCUAGACAAGGACUGAACCACACCAAGGAGCCUGCAGAGAAAUGGCCUGUAGCCUUGAAUAUGACCACUAGCAACCUCUUUGCUCAGAAAGGUUACACUCAUGCUGGGAUAUUACUUCUGGGCUGGAUGAUGUGCUGAGACUCAGCAGUCCAACAACACUCACUGACCACUGUGAGAUGAGAAAGGCUGUCCAAGGACAUUCCAGAAGAACCUUUUCCUUCCUGUUGUCACCCUAUCAUCUAAAAGAGAUUGUGAAGCACAUAAAAGGCAAGCAUUCAUUCGCUGAGAGUUACAAGCUCCAGCUUCCCUGUUCAUUUUAGGAUGGGAUCCUGUGUUUGAAGUCUACCCAGUACUACAAACUGGGUGGUUUUAAACAACGGAAAUUUGUUUUUUCAUUGUUCUUCAUGCCAUAAGUGCUGGCAGGGCCGUGCUCCACCUGAAAUCUCUCGGUCAUCAAUUGAGGCUGCUUCUACCUUGACACUGAUAUUAAGUUAUGAGAAAAUAUAUCGAUGUUCUCCUUCAAUGAGAGAUGAGUGAUGUAUCUAACAGUCAUGAUGGACAAUGGGCCUGACGGCCUAGUGAAGCUCAUCAGAUGCACUUCAAACUGCAUUUGGCUUGCAGCCAGAUUUCCAAAUAGCCAGCCAACUACAAACUGAAACCUCUACAGACUGUGAGUUAAAUUAUACUAAACUUUCCUUCCUUUAAACAUGGGUGCCUGGUAUUUUGUCUCAGCAGAGAAAAAAAAAAUAAGUAAGAUG
Cavia porcellus (domestic guinea pig) is the source of this 936-nucleotide long non-coding RNA. RefSeq lists it as uncharacterized. NCBI's taxonomy places the organism in Eukaryota, Metazoa, Chordata, Mammalia, Rodentia, Caviidae. The transcript is spliced from 3 exons. The record is from RefSeq and is a predicted model, not a curated record.